CCUACGGGUGGCAGCAGUGAGGAAUAUUGGUCAAUGGGCGCGAGCCUGAACCAGCCAAGUAGCGUGAAGGAUGACUGCCCUACGGGUUGUAAACUUCUUUUAUAAAGGAAUAAAGUGAGGCACGUGUGCCUUUUUGUAUGUACUUUAUGAAUAAGGAUCGGCUAACUCCGUGCCAGCAGCCGCGGUAAUACGGAGGAUGCGAGCGUUAUCCGGAUUUAUUGGGUUUAAAGGGUGCGCAGGCGGCGAGUUAAGUCAGCGGUAAAAUUUCGGGGCUCAACCCCGACAAGCCGUUGAAACUGGCUUGCUAGAGUGGGCGAGAAGUAUGCGGAAUGCGUGGUGUAGCGGUGAAAUGCAUAGAUAUCACGCAGAACUCCGAUUGCGAAGGCAGCAUACCGGCGCCCAACUGACGCUCAGGCACGAAAGCGUGGGUAUCGAACAGGAUUAGAUACCCCUGUGGUC
RNAcentral lists this ribosomal RNA (459 nucleotides) under uncultured bacterium. Its description in RNAcentral is "partial 16S ribosomal RNA". It matches the Rfam family "Bacterial small subunit ribosomal RNA", at positions 338 to 795 of the family's 1533-position model. The record is from RNAcentral.